Molecule: ribosomal RNA, 465 nt
Filed under: uncultured bacterium
Lineage: Bacteria
Description: partial 16S ribosomal RNA
Rfam family: Bacterial small subunit ribosomal RNA
Source: RNAcentral
CUACGGGGGGCUGCAGUGGGGAAUAUUGGACAAUGGGGGAAACCCUGAUCCAGCAAUGCCGCGUGUGUGAAGAAGGCCUGCGGGUUGUAAAGCACUUUCGGUUGGGAGGACUGCUUCUAGCACUAAUAUUGUUGGAAGUUGACGUUACCUUCGGAAGAAGCACCGGCUAACUCCGUGCCAGCAGCCGCGGUAAUACGGGGGGUGCAAGCGUUAAUCGGAAUUACUGGGCGUAAAGCGCGCGUAGGCGGCUAGAUCAGUCGGGUGUGAAAGCCCCGGGCUUAACCUGGGAACUGCAUCCGAUACUGUCUAGCUUGAGGACAGGAGAGGAGAGUGGAAUUCCACAUGUAGCGGUGAAAUGCGUAGAUAUGUGGAGGAACACCAAUGGCGAAGGCAGCUCUCUGGCCUGAUACUGACGCUGAGGUGCGAAAGCGUGGGGAGCAAACAGGAUUAGAUACCCGUGUAGUC